RNAcentral lists this ribosomal RNA (547 nucleotides) under Lipotes vexillifer (Yangtze River dolphin). Its description in RNAcentral is "partial 16S ribosomal RNA". It matches the Rfam family "Bacterial large subunit ribosomal RNA", at positions 1816 to 2597 of the family's 2925-position model. Lineage: Eukaryota; Metazoa; Chordata; Mammalia; Artiodactyla; Lipotidae. The record is from RNAcentral.
CACCUCUAGCAUAACCAGUAUUAGAGGCACUGCCUGCCCAGUGACAAACGUUAAACGGCCGCGGUAUUCUGACCGUGCAAAGGUAGCAUAAUCACUUGUUCUCCAAAUAAGGACUUGUAUGAAUGGCCACACGAGGGUUUUACUGUCUCUUACUUUUAAUCAGUGAAAUUGACCUUCCCGUGAAGAGGCGGGAAUAAUAUAAUAAGACGAGAAGACCCUAUGGAGCUUCAAUUAAUUAACCCAAAUAGCCACAAACUAAUACCAUCAAGGGAUAUAAAACUUUAUAUGGGUUAACAAUUUCGGUUGGGGUGACCUCGGAGCACAAAAAAUCCUCCGAGUGAUUAAAGCCUAGGCCUACCAGCCAAAGCAUACUAUCACUUAUUGAUCCAAAAUUUUUGAUCAACGGAACAAGUUACCCUAGGGAUAACAGCGCAAUCCUAUUCUAGAGUCCAUAUCAACAAUAGGGUUUACGACCUCGAUGUUGGAUCAGGACAUCCUAAUGGUGCAGCCGCUAUUAAGGGUUCGUUUGUUCAACGAUUAAAGUCCU